GGACGGAAAGACCCCGUGGAGCUUUACUGUAGCCUGAUAUUGAAAUUCGGUACAGUUUGUACAGGAUAGGUAGGAGCCUUAGAAGCGUGAGCGCUAGCUUACGUGGAGGCAUUGGUGGGAUACUACCCUAAUUGUAUUGGAUUUCUAACCCGCAGCACUUAUCGUGCUGGGAGACAGUGUCAGGCGGGCAGUUUGACUGGGGCGGUCGCCUCCUAAAGAGUAACGGAGGCGCUCAAAGGUUCCCUCAGAAUGGUUGGAAAUCAUUCAUAGAGUGUAAAGGCAUAAGGGAGCUUGACUGCGAGACCUACAAGUCGAGCAGGGUCGAAAGACGGACUUAGUGAUCCGGUGGUUCCGCAUGGAAGGGCCAUCGCUCAACGGAUAAAAGCUACCCCGGGGAUAACAGGCUUAUCUCCCCCAAGAGUUCACAUCGACGGGGAGGUUUGGCACCUCGAUGUCGGCUCAUCGCAUCCUGGGGCUGUAGUCGGUCCCAAGGGUUGGGCUGUUCGCCCAUUAAAGCGGUACGCGAGCUGGGUUCAGAACGUCGUGAGACAGUUCGGUCCCUAUCCGUCGUGGGCGUAGGAAAUUUGAGAGGAGCUGUCCUUAGUACGAGAGGACCGGGAUGGACAUACCUCUGGUGUACCAGUUGUCGUGCCAACGGCAUAGCUGGGUAGCUAUGUAUGGACGGGAUAAGUGCUGAAAGCAUCUAAGCAUGAAGCCCCCCUCGAGAUGAGAUUUCCCAACUUCGGUUAUAAGAUCCCUCAAAGAUGAUGAGGUGAAU
RNAcentral lists this ribosomal RNA (778 nucleotides) under Staphylococcus pseudintermedius. RNAcentral's name for it is "partial 23S ribosomal RNA". It matches the Rfam family "Bacterial large subunit ribosomal RNA", at positions 2078 to 2857 of the family's 2925-position model. Lineage: Bacteria; Bacillati; Bacillota; Bacilli; Caryophanales; Staphylococcaceae. The record is from RNAcentral.